UUAUCAACUUUUCGAGUGCAAGUUCUUGACUAGUACAGUAUAUCACAUGACAUGAGAAUCUUCUCAUCAUUUAGGUUUAGGAUUCAAAAUGUCCACGAACACAACUUAAAAAUACAUUAAUUGUGUUUGGAGCCGUCCGAUUUAUGCGAGCCCACGUGCAUUAAGCGGUUCUGAAUUCAGUUUGCGUCCGGAAUUAUGUUUUAAAGUUGCUUCCUUCACACGUACUAUUUGAGGGGAAUAUUUAUGGGCAUGCUUUGCCUUUUUAGUGGCCACCAAUUAAUAGGCAAAAGUAGUAGUAGCAUCACCUAAUAGUGAACUCCCUUUUCGUCAAUUUCAUCACAUGUGCCAUGUUUUGUGGAAACUAGCUA
This is a long non-coding RNA of Rhododendron vialii, 368 nucleotides long. RefSeq lists it as uncharacterized. The record is from RefSeq and is a predicted model, not a curated record. NCBI's taxonomy places the organism in Eukaryota, Viridiplantae, Streptophyta, Magnoliopsida, Ericales, Ericaceae. The transcript is spliced from 2 exons.